UUAUUGAUUGAAAUUUAUUUUUUGUGUUUCGAUUUUUUUUCAUUUUUAUAUUUUUUUAGUAAAUUCUUGUAAAAAAUGGAGAGACGUAAUUGCAUUUCUAGAAUUUACGAAGUUCUGGCUAAUUCGGAAAAAACAAUCGAGGAAUUAUUUCAAAAAAUGAACGAAGAGGAAAGUGUGGACAUGGACGACAUAAGAAGGGGAGUAAACCAAGGAGUCGAGAUGGGCAUCUUGGGAAUAACAGGAUUGGUAUCAAAAUAUUCAACGUUCAUUCGCGUAAUUUUUUUUUUUAUUUCGCGCAAAUUGUACUCGAGUUAGGUACCCACACAGUACGGGCUGUUCCCGCCCCCGGACUCGGGUGAACUUUACUGCGCUGCGUCCUGAUGCUGUCUGUUGAAGCCAUGUUAAUAAAAUCGUUUCGCUCCACAAUGACGUCCGACGCCGCUCGAAAGACUGCUGAAUGGCUGUGUAGUGACAGCAGCGGAUUUUCAAGUAAGUGUGAAAUGUUGUAGACCUUUAUACUUGCACUGUUAAAAUUCGAUUUGCAAUCAAAAAAUUGUUUAAGCUUUGUAAUUUUAGAUAAUUUUUUUUCUCUUUGAAUAUUAAGUUUGAGUGAACUAAGGUAAAUUUAUACACAAAAUUUUGCUGCUUUUUCCUCGUUCAAAACACUUGUCGAGUGGAUUAUGUCAAACAUUUCUCAAAAAGUCGAUAUUUUCCGAAAGCGAAGAAGAAAAAAUUUUUACAGUGACGGCUUUCAACAACAAAUGAUAUGCAAGUAUUAUAGCAAAUUUUGGCCAUAAAUUUGUUUUAAUCGUGGCAAUCACAUUACCCGCGUAUCGCUAAAUAUGGCAACAUUUUCAAAAGAAGUUGUUUUUUGAUGCAAACGUGGUAUUAAAAAUAAAUAGAUCGGGUAUAAAUAAUUAAAACGCAUGCGAAGAAGGAUU
This is a long non-coding RNA of Glossina fuscipes, 941 nucleotides long. RefSeq lists it as uncharacterized. The transcript is spliced from 2 exons. NCBI's taxonomy places the organism in Eukaryota, Metazoa, Arthropoda, Insecta, Diptera, Glossinidae. The record is from RefSeq and is a predicted model, not a curated record.